This 795-nucleotide ribosomal RNA is filed under the name Enterococcus faecium. Its description in RNAcentral is "bacterial SSU rRNA". It matches the Rfam family "Bacterial small subunit ribosomal RNA", at positions 23 to 789 of the family's 1533-position model. The record is from RNAcentral. Lineage: Bacteria; Bacillati; Bacillota; Bacilli; Lactobacillales; Enterococcaceae.
CUCAGGACGAACGCUGGCGGCGUGCCUAAUACAUGCAAGUCGAACGCUUCUUUUUCCACCGGAGCUUGCUCCACCGGAAAAAGAGGAGUGGCGAACGGGUGAGUAACACGUGGGUAACCUGCCCAUCAGAAGGGGAUAACACUUGGAAACAGGUGCUAAUACCGUAUAACAAUCRAAACCGCAUGGUUUUGAUUUGAAAGGCGCUUUCGGGUGUCGCUGAUGGAUGGACCCGCGGUGCAUUAGCUAGUUGGUGAGGUAACGGCUCACCAAGGCCACGAUGCAUAGCCGACCUGAGAGGGUGAUCGGCCACAUUGGGACUGAGACACGGCCCAAACUCCUACGGGAGGCAGCAGUAGGGAAUCUUCGGCAAUGGACGAAAGUCUGACCGAGCAACGCCGCGUGAGUGAAGAAGGUUUUCGGAUCGUAAAACUCUGUUGUUAGAGAAGAACAAGGAUGAGAGUAACUGUUCAUCCCUUGACGGUAUCUAACCAGAAAGCCACGGCUAACUACGUGCCAGCAGCCGCGGUAAUACGUAGGUGGCAAGCGUUGUCCGGAUUUAUUGGGCGUAAAGCGAGCGCAGGCGGUUUCUUAAGUCUGAUGUGAAAGCCCCCGGCUCAACCGGGGAGGGUCAUUGGAAACUGGGAGACUUGAGUGCAGAAGAGGAGAGUGGAAUUCCAUGUGUAGCGGUGAAAUGCGUAGAUAUAUGGAGGAACACCAGUGGCGAAGGCGGCUCUCUGGUCUGUAACUGACGCUGAGGCUCGAAAGCGUGGGGAGCAAACAGGAUUAGAUACCCUG